UACGAGGGGGGCGAGCGUUGUUCGGAAUCAUUGGGCGUAAAGCGCACGUAGGCGGUCCAGCAAGUCGGGUGUGAAAGCCCUCGGCUUAACCGGGGAAGUGCAUUCGAAACUACUGGACUUGAGUACUGAAGAGGAUCGCGGAAUUCCCGGUGUAGAGGUGAAAUUCGUAGAUAUCGGGAGGAGCACCAGUGGCGAAGGCGGCGAUCUGGGCAGAUACUGACGCUGAGGUGCGGAAGCGUGGGGAGCAAACAGG
Molecule: ribosomal RNA, 253 nt
Filed under: uncultured bacterium
Lineage: Bacteria
Description: partial 16S ribosomal RNA
Rfam family: Bacterial small subunit ribosomal RNA
Source: RNAcentral